UUCUGAUAAACACAGUUGCUCUCAGUUUCUUCCUUUUGUCAGCAAGUGAAACCCGGGCGUGGUGUUGGCGUUUGGUUACAUAGGACGACCAGCUUUACUUAUCGUGAUCUUUUUGUGGGAAGAAACAAUCGUCUGAAAUCCCAAAGAUGAUUUCCCACACUUUAAACCUCAAUAAACUGAACAAGAUAAGUCAUCGGGUGAGAAAGUUGGAAAACAAUGGAUCUCCAUAUUGCCCAGUGUUGAUGUCGCAAAUUAUUCUAUGAGUAACUCCCACCAGAGAUCCAGGCUCGGACACAGAAACGGAGAGAGACACAGAAUCUGCUGGCUCGGCACGAUCCUGAUUCCAGCUCAGAGAUACCUGCAAAUGACGCGUGAUCGAGUACUUUACAACUAAAACAACAAUGGUGGACAACAGGACUGGAGAAUGCGCAGGACUUGUGUGAAAGUAACUUUUAGAGCAUCGUUCACGAUCUCUCCGUCUGGAAGCGUGUAGUACACCAUCACACAAGCCAGUGGAGUCCAAGAGUGAUCUGUGUUCAGACUGAAGGAGGAGGAAUUCACCGUCCCA
Megalobrama amblycephala (Wuchang bream) is the source of this 568-nucleotide long non-coding RNA. RefSeq lists it as uncharacterized. The record is from RefSeq and is a predicted model, not a curated record. The transcript has 4 exons. Lineage: Eukaryota; Metazoa; Chordata; Actinopteri; Cypriniformes; Xenocyprididae.